AGCUCAGUUGGAAGAGCAAAAGACUGAAA
Molecule: transfer RNA, 29 nt
Filed under: Acilepis attenuata
Lineage: Eukaryota; Viridiplantae; Streptophyta; Magnoliopsida; Asterales; Asteraceae
Description: partial tRNA-Phe
Source: RNAcentral